Molecule: ribosomal RNA, 250 nt
Filed under: uncultured bacterium
Lineage: Bacteria
Description: partial 16S ribosomal RNA
Rfam family: Bacterial small subunit ribosomal RNA
Source: RNAcentral
UACGGAGGAUGCAAGCGUUAUCCGGAUUCAUUGGGUUUAAAGGGUGCGCAGGCGGAUAUAUAAGUCAGUGGUGAAAUGCAACAGCUUAACUGUUGAGCUGCCAUUGAUACUGUAGGUCUAGAGUGUAAUUGGGGUAAGCGGAAUAUGUCAUGUAGCGGUGAAAUGCUUAGAUAUGACAUAGAACACCGAUCGCGAAGGCAGCUUACCAAGCUACAACUGACGCUCAUGCACGAAAGCGUGGGGAUCAAAC